Molecule: long non-coding RNA, 2409 nt
Organism: Brassica napus (rape)
Lineage: Eukaryota; Viridiplantae; Streptophyta; Magnoliopsida; Brassicales; Brassicaceae
Exons: 2
Source: RefSeq, a predicted model, not a curated record
GCGGUCCCAAAAGACAGUAUGUCCAAAGGUGUAAAGAAGGAGCAUCUUGGACCAUGUAUCUAGCCAUCUUUGUGAACAAGGUUCAUGGGAGCCUUAAGGGAACCAAUCAGGAGCCAGCCCUUGCCUUGACCAGAUUGAAUCAACCAGUCACCAGCCAGCAUUCUCUACUCCAAUCAGAUCAAUUCACUCAUAUUGCAAACAAGAAAACUCCAUCCUAGCCAUCCAUUCCUCUCAAGUCAUUUAUAUCCAUUAGAUUUAGGUUUCUAGUGUUGCAAACAUGUAAAGCUUAUAUAAGCCAUGUGUAUGGACGUUUUGUAACUCUCUUAAGAGAGAGAGGGGGAUUUCCCCUCCUCAUUCAUAAUACAAAGUGUGUUCUUGGAUAAGAAUCCCUUAAUUUCUCCCUUUCUUAUACUUAAAUCUCUUAAUCUCUCUAAAUCUCUUGUUUAUGUCCAAGUUCAUACUGUUUUCAUUAGACCUUUCUCUCUUCAGUCCAAGCUCUCAUUUAUCCCUUAGUGGCUUCUUCUCACACACACAGCCUGAGCUCUGAAAACCUAACAUGGUAUCAGAGCCAGGUUCAUCAGAACUUGGUUCCAGCUUCCGCAUAUACAUCACAAGACUAGUCUCAUCUCUAAUCCAAACCAUAGAAGACUUGUCCAGCUGGUUCUCUCUCUUCAAGAAGAAUGUGUUUGAAGCUAUGGUGGUGUCUCGUGGUCGUUCCCCUUCUCUCAUGUCCAUUAAAGGUGUGGCUCAACUCUGGUCCAAGCUGAAACCAUUCAAGAAGAAAGCUUUCCCCUUGUUCCUGAAGUUGGUGACUUGGGGCUGUGAAGAAAGGUGGAGCCUUUUGAGUUGUUGUUUCAAGAAGGAGGUUAUGAACAAAAGGAGAGGGUAUUGGGUGACGAUCCAGCUCUCUUAUCCACCAGAGUCGUGUCCUGUUAUCAAGGAGGCUCAAGGAACCAGCUCAGGUUCCUUGGUUGUAAGCUAAUCCUAAACCUUCUUGAUAUGAGCUUGUGAUUGAAACUGGUUGUGUGUUGUGUUGUGUUUCAAUUCGUGGGUUAAUGACUGACAAUGCUUGAUAAUAUUGACUUGUUUAGUCCCAGGAUGCUAUUGAGUCUUGUUUGAUGUUGAGAAAUGAAAUGCUUGCCCGGUUUGGUUAUGAUUGUGCUAGGAUGUUAGAAACUGUCUAAAUCUUAUUAGCUUUCAUUAAACUGAAAUCACUUAAGGUUUUGCAUUGUCUGAUGUUGAUUGAUGAUAAGUAAUGCUUUGCCUCAGUUAUAAAUGAAUGUGUGAUAGAUUGUAGAGAAAUUACUUAUAAUGAAUCUGAUUAUACUUGAAAUGACUAGAAUAACUCAUAAACUUUUGCAAUUACUAGACUAACUCAGGUGACUAAUGAAAGUACUAAAAACUCAUCCUUCCUUUUCAUAUUCACUUUUUUUUUUUGAAAUUUCUUUUCAUAUUAGAUAAUUAUUUUAUUUUUCCCCUAAAAAGAAUUCUCAAUCUCUCAUUAUCCUCUCCGACGAAAGAAACGUCGAAGACGAAGGAGGGUUCUCUUCACUUCCGUCUCCGGUGAGCUCUCCUCUGGGACAGGCUCAUUCCGUUUUGUCAUCUCCACCUCAACUCGCCGUCGUCUGUCAUACAAAAAGAACCCUAAAUCCGAUUUCACUUUUGUCAAAAUCCACCUUUGAAUCUAAGAAAAUUGAACCUGGAUGUUUCAGACAGAACAUAAUUGGCGUUACUAUCAAUGGUUCCUUAGGAGAGGAUGCUUUGAUUUACUCACUCAAUGUGGUUGGUGUGUAAGUUUGUUUUUGUUACGUGAAUUACAUGGAUGUUUCAGACAAACCAAUGCCUCGAGGGGAGAUUGUGGCUGGUGAUAACAGUGUAACAGCAGGUUACUUCAACAAUCAAGCAAAAACCGAUGAGGUUUACAAGGUAGUUGAGCAGAGGCAGCUUUCUUUCAAGUAAUUACGUUGACAACAUUAUGGUACACACAGACCCAAUGAACAGCUACUAUGUAGCUCUUGUUGUAGCAUCAUAUAGAGCAUUAGAGAAAUGGGGCAGAGCAAGCAGGAGUUAAAUACAGCGACUUCUCUGAGCUAUGCGAGAACGGUGAUGCAGUAAACGAGGUUCAACAAUCUCUUACCAAGGCGGCAAAGCUAGAAAAGUUUGAAAUUCCAGCAAAGAUAAAGUUAUUGCCGGAGCCGUGGACAUCAGAGUCGGGACUAGCACAGCUGCUCUCAAGAUAAAGAGGGAGAAAAUAAAGGCCAAGUUCAAAGAUGAACUCCACAAGCUGUAAAAAGUCUUAUCUAUUACUUAUGAGUUGUGACAAACUUCAUGUACUUAGGGUUUUGACUUUACUUUUACUAAUAAAGUUUGAUCAUGAUGGAGUUGUUUUCUCCCCUUUUAAUACAAUAA